Molecule: transfer RNA, 85 nt
Filed under: Rugosimonospora africana
Lineage: Bacteria; Bacillati; Actinomycetota; Actinomycetes; Micromonosporales; Micromonosporaceae
Description: tRNA-Leu
Rfam family: tRNA
About the family: Transfer RNA (tRNA) molecules are approximately 80 nucleotides in length. Their secondary structure includes four short double-helical elements and three loops (D, anti-codon, and T loops).
Source: RNAcentral
UGCCCGGGUGGUGGAACGGCAGACACAGCCGCCUUAAAAGCGGCAGCCGAAAGGCGUGCGGGUUCGAGUCCCGCCCCGGGCACCC